UACGUAGGGUGCGAGCGUUAAUCGGAAUUACUGGGCGUAAAGCGUGCGCAGGCGGUCUCGUAAGCUGGGUGUGAAAGCCCCGGGCUUAACCUGGGAACUGCGCUUGAAACUACGAGGCUCGAGUGUGGCAGAGGGAGGUGGAAUUCCACGUGUAGCGGUGAAAUGCGUAGAGAUGUGGAGGAACACCGAUGGCGAAGGCAGCCUCCUGGGCCAACACUGACGCUCAUGCACGAAAGCGUGGGGAGCAAACAGG
Molecule: ribosomal RNA, 253 nt
Filed under: uncultured bacterium
Lineage: Bacteria
Description: partial 16S ribosomal RNA
Rfam family: Bacterial small subunit ribosomal RNA
Source: RNAcentral